GACAGAGGGUGCAAACGUUGUUCGGAUUUACUGGGCGUAAAGCGCGUGUAGGCGGCUUGGCAAGUCGGAUGUGAAAGCCCACGGCUCAACCGUGGAAGCGCAUCCGAAACUGCUUCGCUCGAGUCUCGGAGAGGAAGGUGGAAUGCUUGGUGUAGAGGUGAAAUUCGUAGAUAUCAAGCAGAACACCUGCGGCGAAGGCGGCCUUCUGGACGAUGACUGACGCUGAGGCGCGAAAGCUAGGGGAGCAAACGGG
Molecule: ribosomal RNA, 253 nt
Filed under: uncultured bacterium
Lineage: Bacteria
Description: partial 16S ribosomal RNA
Rfam family: Bacterial small subunit ribosomal RNA
Source: RNAcentral